UAAUGUUCCUAAUUUGGAAGAGUGGGAGGCAUUAGAACAGGAAGCUGGUGAUGGAUCAAACGCCCAUUCAAGGAUCCUUCCCUUGAAAGAGAUGAGCUUGAAUAUUAUCCCUGCAGAUGAUCAAUCUGAAGAUGGUUCAACUGUAGCUGAAAAUGAAACACAUUUUGAGAAGCAUGAAGAUGUUGAACAUGGUUUGAGGAAACAUAGGAGAUAUCCGAAGAAGAAAAAGGAAGUAAGUAUUGAAGGGAAGAAGAUGGUAGCUGAUGGAAUUGAUGCAUCUAAGGGGCAAUUUGAUGAUGAUGCUGGUGAUUGGAUGCCUGCUGUUAGUCGAAGUACUCAUCGAAGAUAUCUUAGAAGGAAAGCUAGACGUGAAUAUUAUGAGGCAUUAUCUGAAAAAGAUAGUCAGCAAGAUCUGGAGAAAAAUAUGAAUAGCAACAGUUCUAAUGAAACUAAUAUCCUAGAUCCACUAUUUCAUCGAAAUUUUGAGACUAUAGAUGCUGGAAAUGGGAUUUCUAAGGAGGGUGAGGCGAAGAAUGAUGACGGUGGUCUUACUUCAAUACUAAACCUAAUGAGGCUGGAAGAAGGUUCUUUGAAUGCUAUUCAAGAAGUGAAAGAAGAGAACAGCACCCUUGCAGGGCUUGAGUUUACUAAUUCUCUGGUGAUGGAAGCUUCUUCUGACAACAACGCAAAUUCUGCUCUUGAAGCCAGUGAAGUUGAUAUUGUCAAUGGUGAACUAGAUCACCAGGAGAUCUUAAGCCAAACCAAUGAAAGUAUUGAUGUGUCACAUGUGGAUGAUGAUGAUAGUGAGCAGAGCUGGACGCUUAAAUCCUUAUCAGAGUCCAGUGUAGCCUGUUUAACUAGUGACUUUGCAAUGCAGAAUGUACUUCUGCAAAUGGGAUUACGACUAUUGGCACCUGAAGGAAAGCAAAUCCGCCAGUUGCACAGAUGGAUAUUGAAAUGCCAUGCGUGCUACACUGUGACUGCUGAAAUUGGGAGAAUUUUCUGUCCAAAGUGUGGAAAUGGUGGCACUUUACGGAAGGUAGCCGUUACAGUUGGAGAGAAUGGAAUCAUUUUGGCAGACCGUCGGCCACGAAUCACUCUGCGAGGUACAAAAUUUUCAUUGCCUUUACCGCAAGGUGGAAGGGAUGCCAUUGCUAGGAAUCUUAUUCUGCGUGAAGAUCAACUCCCAAAAAAAUUCCUAGCAAUGGCAUCCCUUCCACCAGAAAGCAAAUAAAGAGGGAGAUGAUUUCUUUGCUUCGGACAACAUCUUCAACCACCAUA
RNAcentral lists this unclassified non-coding RNA (1281 nucleotides) under Hevea brasiliensis (rubber tree). The record is from RNAcentral. Lineage: Eukaryota; Viridiplantae; Streptophyta; Magnoliopsida; Malpighiales; Euphorbiaceae.